Non-coding RNA from Sardina pilchardus (European sardine), 476 nucleotides. NCBI's taxonomy places the organism in Eukaryota, Metazoa, Chordata, Actinopteri, Clupeiformes, Clupeidae. The record is from the annotation of a RefSeq genome assembly.
AUAAACAGACCUCCACAAUGAUCUUCUUACUGGGAAUAUUGCUCAUGGACUUUUCAGUCUGCAGUGUAAAGGCGAACUCUGUUACUCAACCUAAAGAUGAGACGGGUCUGGAGGGCAGCAGUGUGACACCCAACUGUCGGUAUGAGACCACAGCCUCAGCACUUAGCCAGUAUCUCUUCUGGUACCAGCAGAAGCCAAAUGGAUUCCCCGGAUACAUGCUACAGAAAAGCGAUAAUGGAGAUAGCUCUGACGACCAAUUCAGGGAAAGAUUCAAUGCUACACUCAACACUAAUGGAAAAACUGUUCCUCUGAUGAUCAAGAAUCUACAAGUGUCUGACUCUGCUGUGUACUACUGUGCUCUGAUGCCCACAGUGACAGCUGUACAGUCAAUACCCAUACAAAAACUGUCUAACAUCAACUCUCUAAUCUAUCCCAUGCUGUGCACAGCAUUAUCAAAAUCAAGGAUCAUCUCCUAG